Molecule: ribosomal RNA, 76 nt
Filed under: Prevotella sp. AM34-19LB
Lineage: Bacteria; Pseudomonadati; Bacteroidota; Bacteroidia; Bacteroidales; Prevotellaceae
Description: partial 23S ribosomal RNA
Source: RNAcentral
GACGUUGAUAGGAUGCAGGUGUAAAGACAGCGAUGUCAAAGCCGAGCAUUACUAAUUGCCCGAACACUUUCUUUAG